Molecule: ribosomal RNA, 441 nt
Filed under: uncultured Caldilinea sp.
Lineage: Bacteria; Bacillati; Chloroflexota; Caldilineae; Caldilineales; Caldilineaceae
Description: bacterial SSU rRNA
Rfam family: Bacterial small subunit ribosomal RNA
Source: RNAcentral
CCUACGGGGGGCAGCAGUGAGGAAUAUUGCACAAUGGGGGAAACCCUGAUGCAGCAACGCCGCGUGGAGGAUGAAGGCCCUUGGGUUGUAAACUCCUUUUCUGUGGGACGAGAGAGGACGGUACCACAGGAAUAAGUCACGGCUAACUACGUGCCAGCAGCCGCGGUAAUACGUAGGUGGCGAGCGUUAUCCGGAAUUACUGGGCGUAAAGCGUACGCAGGCGGCUUGUCUAGUCUGACGUGAAAUCUCCCGGCUUAACUGGGAGAGGUCGUUGGAAACUGGCAAGCUUGAGGCAAUGAGAGGGGCAUGGAAUUCCCGGUGUAGUGGUGGAAUGCGUAGAUAUCGGGAGGAACACCAGAGGCGAAAGCGAUGCCCUGGCAUUGACCUGACGCUCAUGUACGAAAGCGUGGGGAGCGAACGGGAUUAGAUACCCUGGUAGUC